This 1095-nucleotide long non-coding RNA is filed under the name Chelonoidis abingdonii (Abingdon island giant tortoise). RNAcentral describes it as "lncRNA (ENSCABG00000015842.1)". The record is from RNAcentral. Lineage: Eukaryota; Metazoa; Chordata; Testudines; Testudinidae.
AUGCCGCUGGAGCUCGCUGGCCGAGCGGACGCAGCCCCCGAUCACCUCCUCCAGCUGCCGCAGCCGUGGGGCACCCUCGCCCAGGGGGCAGGCGUCGGGGGACGCCGUUGGGUCUGCAACAACAGCACUAUCACGUCAGGGUCGCUGCGGCGAUCCCGGCCCCAUGUCAGCCUGCCCACUCCAGCCAUGGCCUCACCCCACGGGGCAGUGAUGGGGAGCAGGGUACUGGCAAGGUCAGUGGGUGAAGGCAGUAUGAGGAGUGGGGCAGGUCGCUGCCCCCAGCAGGGGGCGCUGCGGGCAGGAGGACUGGCCGUGUGGCGGGUCGCUGGCCCGCCCAGCAGGGGGCGCUGCGGGGCAGGAGGACUGCUGUGCAGUGGGUCGUUGCCCCCCAGGAGGGGGCGCUGCGGGGGCAGGAGGACUGGCCGUGCAGUGGGUCGUUGCCCCCAGCAGGGGGCGCUGCGGGGGCAGGAGGAACUGGCCGUGUGGCGAGUCGCUGCCCCCAGCAGGGGCGCUGCUGGGGUAGGAGGAGCUGGCCGUGUGGCGGUCGCUGCCCCCAGCAGGGGGCUCUGCGGGGGCAGGAGAACUGGCCGUGCGGGCAGGUCGCUGCCCCCAGCAGGGGCUGUGGGGGGCAGGAGGACUGGCUGCCAGGCGGUCGCUGCACCCGGCAGGGGCGCUGCGGGGCAGGAGGCUGGCCGUGCGGGUGGGUCGCUGCCCCAGCAGGGGGCGCUGCGGGGGCAGGAGAACUGGCCGUGCAGUGGGUCGUUGCCCCCCAGCAGGGGGCGCUGCGGGGCAGGAGAACUGGCCGUGCAGGCAGGUCGCUGCCCCGGCAGGGCUCUGCGGGGGCAAGGAGGACUGGCUGCGCGGGCGGUCGUCACCCUGGAGGGGCGCUGUGGGGCAGGAGGACUGGCCGCACGGGCGGGUCGCUGCCCCCCGGCAGGGGCGCUGCGGGGGCAGGAGAACUGGCCGUGCGGUGGGUUGUUGCCCCCAGCAGGGGGUGCUGCGGGGCAGGAAACGGCGUUGCCGGUGGGUUGUUCCCCCAGCAGGGGGUGCUGGUGCUGCUCUGCCCUCCCCUGCUCACCUGCCACGCGCAGGUGA